Molecule: transfer RNA, 75 nt
Filed under: Gammaproteobacteria bacterium
Lineage: Bacteria; Pseudomonadati; Pseudomonadota; Gammaproteobacteria
Description: tRNA-Val
Rfam family: tRNA
About the family: Transfer RNA (tRNA) molecules are approximately 80 nucleotides in length. Their secondary structure includes four short double-helical elements and three loops (D, anti-codon, and T loops). Further hydrogen bonds mediate the characteristic L-shaped molecular structure. tRNAs have two regions of fundamental functional importance: the anti-codon, which is responsible for specific mRNA codon recognition, and the 3' end, to which the tRNAs corresponding amino acid is attached (by aminoacyl-tRNA synthetases). tRNAs cope with the degeneracy of the genetic code in two manners: having more than one tRNA (with a specific anti-codon) for a particular amino acid; and 'wobble' base-pairing, i.e. permitting non-standard base-pairing at the 3rd anti-codon position.
Source: RNAcentral
AGGCGCGUAGCUCAGUGGUAGAGCAUCACCUCGACAAGGUGGGGGUCGUUGGUUCGAAACCGAUCGCGCCUACCA